CAGCUGGAGCCCUCUCAUGCUCUUGUUGUUCAGAAGGACAUUUGAGAACACAGGACUGAUUCACCACUUGAUGCCUGGCUGUUUAUCCCUCAGGAUCAUUGAUGGACAUGAUCUGAUGCCCCUACUUGAAGGAAAAUACCAGUACUCUGAUCAUGAGUUUCUCUUCCGUUACUGAAAUGCCCACUUAAACGCUGGUGCCCUUGGAACAAAUCUCACUCUGUCACCCAGGCUGCAGUGCAAUGGUGUGAUCUCGGUUCACUGCAACUUCCACCUCUCUGAUUCAAGAGAUUCUCCCAUCUCCGCCUCCUGAGUAGCUGGGACUACAGAUGGGACUGACUAGAUGCAGGAAAACUAGCUCAGGGCUGCCACUGAUUCUACAUUAUGGACUGACACCACAUGGAGGCUUGAGACUUACACCCUCUGAAGCCAUGGCCCAAGCUGUACUUUUGCUCCUUUUUACCACAGUUGAAACAGCACAAGUUGGAACAAAGCACCAAGUCCAGAGGCAGCACAAAGCAGUGGGAAAAGCAUUUUUUUCCUCCUAUACCUCCAGACCUGUGAUGGGAAGACUACCAUCAAGGUUGCUGAGAUGGCCUGGAGACAUUUUCACCAUUGGCUCCUCAUUAAUUUUGCAAAUUUCAUCAAUGAGUUUGAAUUUCUUCCCAGAAAAUGGUUUUCUUUCUUUUCUACUGCAUCAUCAGGCUUCAAAUUUUCUAAACUUUUAUGCUCUGUUACUUCUCGAAUACUUUGCUGCUUAGAAAUUUCUUCUGCCAGAUACCCUUAAAUUUUCUCUCUUAAUUUCAAAGUUCCAAAGAUCUCUAGGGCAGGGGCAGAAAGCUGCCAGUCUCCUUGCUAAAGUACAGCAAGAGUCACCUUUACUCAAGUUCCCAACAAAUUCUUCAUCUCCAUCUGAGACCACCUCAGCCUGAAUAUUAUUGUCCAUAUUACUAUCAGCAUUUUGGUCAAAGCCAUUCAGCAAGUCGCUAGGAGGCUCUAAACUUUCUCACAUCUUCCUGUCUUCCAAACCCUCCAAUUCUCUAGGCAGUUCCAAAGUUUCCCACAUCUUCUUGUUUCCUUAGCCCUCCAAGUCUCUAGGAAGUUCCAAGGCUAUCCCACAUUUUUCUGUCUUCUUCUGAGCCCUGAAAACUGUUCCAACCUCUGCUUCUUACCCACUUCCAAAGUCACUUCCAUAUUUUUGGGUACCUUUACAGCAGCACCCCACUACCAGCUACUAAUUUAUUGUAUUAUUCAGUUCUCAUGCUGAUAAUAAAGACAUACCCAAGACAGGGUAAUUUAUAAAGGAAAGAAGUUUAAUAGACUCACAGUUCCUUAAGGAUGGGGAGGCUUCAGGAAUCUUAUGAUCAUGGCAGAAUGGGAAGCAAACAUGUCCUUCACAUGGCAGCAACAAGGAGAAGUGCAGAGCAAAGGUAGGACAAAGCACCUUAUAAAAACAUAGAUCUUGUGAGAACUCACUAUAAUGUGAGCAACGUGGAGAUAAACACUCUCAUAAUUCAAUUAUUCCCACUGGGUCUCUUUCAUGACAUGUGGGAAUUAUGGGGACUACAAUUCAAUAUGAGAUUUGGAUGGGGACACAGCAAAAACAUAUCACCAUAAGAGGGCAUAAGACAGCCUGGUUCCCUGUGUCACCACCAGGAGCAGCUCCAGAGAGUUGCCUGCUCAACAGGUGGCUGUAACCUGAAUGAGAACUAAACUGUUUUUAAAUAUGAGGAACUGAGAUUUGGAGGUUGUUAAGUAUAACAUCAGCAGGAGAUAAUUACCUUGACUAAUACAAGAGGUCAGCCAUACUAGAUAAACCUAACAUUUUAUGAUAAUUCUUUGGAUUUCAAAAAGAUGCUUUGAUUUACUGGUACUCUUUAAAUGGAAGUUAUGUGCAUUAUCUUUAAAGGCUAUCAGCUAUGUGAAAGUGAUAAUUGAAUAAAAUUAAAGAUAAAAAUAUAGUGGAGUCUACUACCAAUUGACCAUGGCCCUGAAUUGAUUGUAAGUGAUUCUGCUAUUCCAGUAUAAAUGAGCGGAGAGGCAGAGUUGAUUAAUUUCCACAACAAAUGUAAUUAUUACUUAAAUGUUGAGGUUCUUUUUGAAACAUUUCAUUUUGCUUCACUGGAUUCUAUGAGAAUAAUAGAUUUCAAAAUAUAUUACACUUAUUGGGGAAUGAUGUUAUUUUUAGUGGCAGUUGCAACUUUAAAAUUUUUCAAUGAAUAUAUAUAUUACAUAUUUCAUAGUAUUAUAAAUACAUACAUUUUUUAAGAUGGAGUUUCACUCUUGUCACCCAGGCUGGAAUCCCAUGGCACAAUCUUGGCUCACUGCAACCUCCUCCUCUUGAGUUCAAGUGAUUCUCUUGCCUCAAUCUCCCGAAGAGCUGGGUUUACAGGCACCCGCCACCAUGCCCAGCUAUACAGGCACACACCACCAUGCCCAGGUUUUUUUUUUUUUUUUUUUUAUUUUUAGUACAGUCAGGAUUUCACCAUGUGGGCCAGGCUGGUCUUGAACUUCUGACCUUAGGUGAUCUGCCCACCUCGGCCUCCCAAAGUGCUGUGAUUACAGGCAUGAGCCACUGCACCCAGCCCCAGUGGAUAUAUUUUUUGUAAUGUAUUAUUGAAUUCCCUAUAAACUUUGUCACGUUGAAAUACUUUUUAAAAUACUUCCCGUGCCUACAUAGUAGUUCAGUAAAUGCAAUAUUUUAGUUUCGUUAAUGACAUCUUGGUCUUAGGAAAAGAUGAAACAAUGACAUAAUAUUUUAAGCCAAGCUAUUUCUGCAAUCUUUGAAAUAAUACCAUUGAACUUGUGUUUAAUAUUUCCAAUUAGUUCAUGUGAUUCUUGCAUUUUGUGCUUUUUCUUCAUGUGAAUUAAUAAUUCCAAUAAUUAAUUGGAAUUAUUUCCAAUUAAUUUAUGUGAUUCUUGCAUUUUCUUUCAAAGUCAGAUGGUUAACUAUGUCAUUAAUGCAAAGUGUAGGCUCUGUGUUGAAAUCUGAAGACACUCUGCAGCAAGGUUUGCACAUACUCUUGUCUACUGCCUCAGGCUGAUGUGUGUGAAAGUCAGAAGUUCUAUAGGAAGAAGCUGGAAAAAUUCAAAGCUUGAAAUAAUUCAGGAAAGGGCACUGGUGGCAUUUUAUCUACAAGGGCAGUGCAUCUGGUCUGUAACUGCUAAGAGAAAGCCGGAUCAAACAGUCCAUCCAUUAGAGCUUGUAUCAAGGUGAGCUGUUCACAUUGUUACAUCAGGGGCAGAGACAAAGAGAGCUCUGUAGCAUAUCCCAUUGCACUGAAGGGGAGUAGAGGGCAGCAUCUUGGGGCCACAUGCAGGUGCUACAGGUGGGGAUGUGGGAUGGUGUUUGGUAAGUUACAUGGAUCCCAGACAUGAUUCUAAGUGCUUUAAUAUAUACAUCUAUUUAAUCUUCACUGCACAUCUGCCAGAUAGCUGUUAUUAUUUUCCUGUUACACAUGAGGACCCAGGCAAAAAACUACAUAAAUUGCUUUAUGGUUUGAUUUAUGGAAUGAUCUUUUGGUUAAUAUCAAAAGAAAUGGAUAGAUUCAUGACCUUCAUAUAUGACUGUGAAUGCUAUGUACUGCACAACUCCAGAGGCAGCAUUAACAUAAUCCACAGUGGGAAGAACAUUUUCUAAAUUUGUGCAGUGCACAACCUGUGUCACCAUAUGUAUCAAUAUCCAUUAGAUAAUCUUGUUGCAAAAAUAGAUGCCUAUGUAAGUUGGACACAACUGACUACCAUAGUUUGUAUAGCAAAGGACACAGGAGUAUGCUGUGUAAAACCCAUGGAUAAGUCUGUGAGUUAGUAUAUCAACAUAAGACAUUCUGAGUGGAAAAAGCAAUCCAAGUGUACUGCUCAUUAAAAUAGAGCUCAUAUUAACAAAGAGUUGAUAUAUUACAUUAAGAAAAAAUGCACAAGAUUUUGUUGGUUUACUUUUCUCUGGGCAUUACCAUGCUGUCUGCUAAAGAUUUCCAGCUCACUCUGCUGCUCAGGCACAUGAUAGGGCUGAACUCUGGCCUUUAGUGAACAGUAAGGAGAGAUGUCACAGUCUAUUUCAGAGCUACGACAUCUGUUGCCAGCACUUUCUUAAAAUCCCACACAGAGGCUGGUCCCUCAGGGUGGUCUCUGAAUUAAGAUGACACCAAACAGAGUUCCAGAUAACUCAAGAGGAAUACACAGUGUGAGCAAGAAAGAAAGCUUUGUUUCUGAAGCCACUGAAACUUGGAUAUUGUCCAUGUAGUCUAGAUACAUUCAUCCUGAGCAACUUAGGUUACCAUCCUGUUUCUGCAAAGGAAUGAGUUUCGUUUUGCAAAAUAUUUCAUUUCCUAUUUUUAUCCCUUAGGGAGUUUAUAGCUAAGGAAUGCUGGGAUAUUUUGGACCAUGAAAUAUCUGAGGCUUAAACUGACUUAGAAAGAUAAUUUAGACAGAAGAAAGGAAAAAUGAGGAUGGCUUCCAGCCAGGUAAAAACAAAACCAAAUGAAACUAAUGUUGAGAUUCACUGUAUCUUCAAAAGUAUACACAUUUACUAACUUUUACAGAGUGAAUAUUAGGGAAGUUGAUGGCACUUCAUUUGGUAACAUAUUAAGCCACAUGAAAAUUUAAUGAUUGUACAACUUCAAAUCCCUUUGUUUUAACAAGUAUAGCAAGACCUGCCUUUUAAUGUCACUUAUGUGUUUAAAAUGUUUAAUCCUACUUAAUUGUAUGUUAAUUAUUUGACAAUUCUUUUAAAGUAAAAAGACUACCUAGUAGUAACAAUAAUAUUCAUGUGCAUGCUACUUAUUAGUGCUUUGAAUACAACUAAAUGGUCUUUUGACCCUUUCUUGUUUAAAU
This 4830-nucleotide long non-coding RNA is filed under the name Homo sapiens (human). RNAcentral describes it as "HSALNT0409372". Lineage: Eukaryota; Metazoa; Chordata; Mammalia; Primates; Hominidae. The record is from RNAcentral.